AUACGAAGGGGGCUAGCGUUGUUCGGAAUUACUGGGCGUAAAGCGCACGUAGGCGGAUAUUUAAGUCAGGGGUGAAAUCCCAGAGCUCAACUCUGGAACUGCCUUUGAUACUGGGUAUCUUGAGUAUGGAAGAGGUAAGUGGAAUUCCGAGUGUAGAGGUGAAAUUCGUAGAUAUUCGGAGGAACACCAGUGGCGAAGGCGGCUUACUGGUCCAUUACUGACACUGAGGUGCGAAAGCGUGGGGAGCAAACAGGAUUAGAAACCCUAGUAGUCC
RNAcentral lists this ribosomal RNA (274 nucleotides) under uncultured bacterium. Its description in RNAcentral is "partial 16S ribosomal RNA". It matches the Rfam family "Bacterial small subunit ribosomal RNA", at positions 523 to 796 of the family's 1533-position model. The record is from RNAcentral.